Cuculus canorus (common cuckoo) is the source of this 1491-nucleotide long non-coding RNA. RefSeq lists it as uncharacterized. The record is from RefSeq and is a predicted model, not a curated record. Lineage: Eukaryota; Metazoa; Chordata; Aves; Cuculiformes; Cuculidae. The transcript is spliced from 3 exons.
GUACUUCAUUUCUCAUUUUGUGAAACAGUCAUUGAUUAAUGAAAUAGAACCCAUAAAUUGGUGUUGGUUCUGUAUGUAGGGGUUGUUCUCUAUGCAUACAUCUGCAGAUGGGGAGAACAGCAGGGUGUAGCAGAAGAACUAAAGGGCCUUCAGGGUGGCCCACUUCUUCCGGUGAACACCGGGUGCUGGUCAUGACUGCACCACAGAAGUCCUACAAGCUUAUCUGUGAUACUUAUCAUCUGAUAGGAAAUGCAUUGCGUAGGAGAAGGGUGAGAAAAAGAAAUCGAUGAUCCCAACUUGAAAGACUAAAUUGAGGCAGAUCACCCCUGUGAUGAGAUCGUCCAGUGUUACCACCAUUUUCCUCCUAGAAAACGUGGACGAUAGGAGGAUCAGAAGAAGCCUGUGAAAAAAAAGGAUUAUAUUGCACUCAUUUUUUUCUUUAGAAAUAUUUCCUCAUGUUGUAAACUGUUCUAAAGAAAAUGCUAUCAUCCAAAAUUGCAAUAAGAUGAAGAGCUUACAAUAAAAAUAUAUAAAGCAUAGUUAUUUAAGUAUGUUUUUUUACAAAUGCAAAGCAACUUUGGCGUUAAAUUUUUCAUAGAAUGAUACACUUCCAAAGCCAAGCUUACAGAGAUGUGGUAUGAAGGACUUGAACAAUGCAAGACACAAGCGUACAUAUGAGAUCUAACUUUAAAAGAUGUUUUAUUGUUGGUAUGUUUGCUACUAAAUGAAAAUAUUAUAUCCGUUUCCUUUUUAUUGCCUCUAAAUACAGUGAAUCUGAAUUGAGAUACUAUAAGAUUUCUUCUGCCACUGUUAUGCUUAACAGACUUGUGUAUGAUUUCAUUUGCCAUGACUUUGCUGCAGAGUGAUGUCAUUCAUUAGCGUUACACUUGAUGUCCGCUGAUGUAAAUGCGCAAAGAGUCAAACCAUUGGUUAAUAGAGACCUACUGACUGCUGAAGCUCAGCCUUGAAAUUCAGUCUUCCGAAUAAUGGCACACAGCAAUAACCAUUUUGAAAAUGAAUAAUGUAUGUAAAGGGAGCUUUUAGCAUACAGAGAUGCUGACUGUGGACCUGUUACUGAAGAGAUUUCUGUUAGGUAGGAGUUGAUGCCAAGAAUUUUUGACGUUUGUGGGAUAAGUCCGUCAAUUGGCAGGAUAUGUGAAGAAGUGAUUUUGGAAAUGGGGGUUAUGUGGUAAGGCACAGGGGUCUAGAAAAUCUACUAGACUCUACUGGGACAGUCCGUAGAGAGCUGUAAAUAACAAGAUAGUAUUUAACCAAGAAGCAAUGGGGUAAGUAAGCUAUGAGAGAAAUUGUUUCUGUAAUAUGUCAGCAGAGUUAUGUAGUUGGCAAGUUUCCACCAGGUAACUUUUUAUACAGUCUAGGUUUCAGUUUUUACUCUCCACAGUUUCUUUCUUCUUUGUACAGUCAGGCUAUGUCUUAUAGUUUGUAGCCCUUAAACUAUUUUUAACUUUGUUUUGAAUUAUCUUGUGCCAA